Molecule: long non-coding RNA, 1216 nt
Filed under: Monodelphis domestica (gray short-tailed opossum)
Lineage: Eukaryota; Metazoa; Chordata; Mammalia; Didelphimorphia; Didelphidae
Description: lncRNA (ENSMODG00000046021.1)
Source: RNAcentral
AUGCCACGCACGCCCCUGCCCUCCCUCCCUGGGCAAACCCCGAGGGGCCCCAAGUGGCCGUUCCUAGGAGUGCGUCCCGGGGACAGACGGACGCGGGCAAACACACGGGUCAGGCGGGCGAUGGCCGUUCACGUUUAUUUUUGUGCAAUUCUGGGUUUAACAAAACCACAACCGUCCAAAAGGCACUUUAGAAUCAGGCGGGCAGCCGCGCCGGAAGGAAGCCCUGAAGCUGUGCCAGAGGCCGGACCUCCCUGCCCUGGAUGCUCAUUCCCCGGGGGAGGGGCAGGCGGGCCCUUGAGGGGUGACCCCCAGCCCCCCCUUUCUGAAGUCGGAGGGCCACUCCCGGGGGGCGCCGAGGGGAAGGCCUCGCUCUCAGCACCCCGCCAGCUCGGCGCCGGAGGUCCCAGGGAGCCUCGGCAGGAACAGAACACGGCCGCGAGCAGCCAAACCGAGGGGGCCUCCGGUGCCCGAGCGCUGCCCUCUCCUGGCAGGGGCCCGACGCUGAGGAGAAGAUGGGGCGGCCCUUCCCCCGCCACCGCUGUGGGAGCCAACGGGGUACCCCCCCGUUCCAAAGGGAGGUCCCAUGGGAACCCCCGCCCGGUCCAUCUCCAUUGACAACAAUCUUCAGAUCCCAAGAACUUCCGCCACAAGGAGCCGCCACGCGUGGGCCCUGCUGGGGUCGAGGGCGCUGGGCCUCCCUCCCGGUGGCCCCGGGAAGCCUCCGUCCCUCCCGCAGGAUGGGCUCUUGGCAGGCCACGUGAAGCCAGUCCCUUCCCAGGACCUCCAUUUAGGGCACGGGGAGGGCCGCACGGACGACCGACCGACCGUCGCCGGGUCCUUCGGCCCUUCCUGGCACCACCGGGAGAAGGGGUCGGAGGAGACCCAGAGCGGCGGGCGGGGAGGAUGCCAGCAGCUGUGGGCAAAGCCGACGUCGGGGGCGGCUGGGCAGGCCUGGUGAGCAAGAGUGGCUCAAACGGAGCAUCGGAACGAAGACGGGCCGGCGGAAGAGGCGUCCCGGGCUGGGGCCUGGGCGGGAGACUCGGCCGCAGCCCGUGUCCCGAGCGGCCGUGGUCAGCAGGGGCGCCCGAUGGCCCGUUAGGGCCGGGGAGCAGCAGCUCGUCUGUCCUCGUCAUCUUUGGGGUCUUCUGGUUAAGGCAGCUCAGGGUGGAACAGAAGCAGCCCCUCCCCGCCCAAACCUGCUGCUUUCAGGAGCGUA